This 378-nucleotide ribosomal RNA is filed under the name uncultured bacterium. RNAcentral's name for it is "bacterial SSU rRNA". It matches the Rfam family "Bacterial small subunit ribosomal RNA", at positions 521 to 896 of the family's 1533-position model. The record is from RNAcentral.
UAAUACGUAGGGGGCGAGCGUUGUCCGGAUUUAUUGGGCGUAAAAGGCUUGUAGGUGGCCAUGCGAAGUCGGAUGUGAAAUCUCCCGGCUCAACUGGGAGGGGUCAUUCGAUACUGGCAGGCUCGAGGCCGGUAGGGGGUAGCGGAAUUCCCGGUGUAGUGGUGGAAUGCGUAGAUAUCGGGAGGAACACCAGUGGCGAAGGCGGCUACCUGGACCGGUUCUGACACUGAGGAGCGAAAGCGUGGGGAGCGAUCCGGAUUAGAUACCCGGGUAGUCCACGCCGUAAACGUUGGGCACUAGAUGUCGGGGGUAUCGACCCCUCCGGUGUCGCAGCUAACGCAUUAAGUGCCCUGCCUGGGGAGUACGGCCGCAAGGCUA